GUAUGGGAGAUGUAGUCCUGCAGCAGCUGGAGGGCCGCAGGUUGGACGCCCCUGCUGUAGACUUUUAUCCGGUGCGUACAAAUAGCUAGAAUGGGAACCGGAAAGUCAAGUUUCUCUACCAGCCCCAGUUCAAAAGCAAACGAAUGGUAAAUAGGAACACAAUGUUUGUGGACAAUGAAAAAGGAAGUCGGCUGUAAAUUAUUAAAGUAUUUUAAGCAA
Spea bombifrons (plains spadefoot toad) is the source of this 219-nucleotide long non-coding RNA. RefSeq lists it as uncharacterized. The record is from RefSeq and is a predicted model, not a curated record. NCBI's taxonomy places the organism in Eukaryota, Metazoa, Chordata, Amphibia, Anura, Pelobatidae. The transcript has 2 exons.